GAUGAAGAACGUAGCGAAAUGCGAUACGUAAUGUGAAUUGCAGAAUUCAGUGAAUCAUCGAGUCUUUGAACGCACAUUGCGCCCCCUGGUAUUCCGGGGGGCAUGCCUGUCCGAGCGUCAUUGCUGCCCUCAAGCACGGCUUGUGUGUUGGGCCUCCGUCCUCCUCCCGGGGGACGGGCCCGAAAGGCAGCGGCGGCACCGCGUCCGGUCCUCGAGCGUAUGGGGCUUCGUCACCCGCUCUUGUAGGCCCGGCCGGCGCUUGCCGACACAUCAACCUUUUUUCCAGGUUGACCUCGGAUCAGGUAGGGAUACCCGCUGAACAUAAGCAUAUCAAUAAGCGGAGGA
Molecule: unclassified non-coding RNA, 345 nt
Filed under: soil metagenome
Description: partial contains 5.8S ribosomal RNA, internal transcribed spacer 2, and large subunit ribosomal RNA
Rfam family: 5.8S ribosomal RNA (bases 1-120)
Source: RNAcentral